GAUGAACGCUGGCGGCGUGCCUAAUACAUGCAAGUCGAGCGCACAGACGAGGAGCUUUCUCCUUUGACGUUAGCGGCGGACGGGUGAGUAACAUGUGGAUAACCUACCUAUACGACUUGGAUAUCUUUGGGAAACCGGAGCUAAUACCGGAUAAUAUAUUGAACCGCAUGGUUCAAUAGUGAAAGACGGUUUUGCUGUCACUUAUAGAUGGAUCCGCGCUGCAUUAGCUAGUUGGUAAGGUAACGGCUUACCAAGGCAACGAUGCGUAGCCGACCUGUGAGGGUGAUCGGCCACACUGGAACGAGGACACGAUCCAGACUCCUACGGGAGGCAGCAGUAGGGAAUCUGACGCAAUAGGCGAGAGCAUGACGGAGCAACGCCGCGUGAGUGAUGAAGAUCUUCGGAUCGUAAAACUCUGUUAUUAGGGAAAAACAAAUGUGUAAGUUACUAUGCACGUCUUGACGGUACCUGAUCAGAAAGCCACGGCUAACUACGUG
This 497-nucleotide ribosomal RNA is filed under the name uncultured bacterium. RNAcentral describes it as "partial 16S ribosomal RNA". It matches the Rfam family "Bacterial small subunit ribosomal RNA", at positions 28 to 507 of the family's 1533-position model. The record is from RNAcentral.